UACAGAUCUCUAUACCGGUAUCUAGAUCUAGAUCCACAACACCUAGACUUUUGUCUAGAUCUUUUUCAAGAUUAAAUUAUUAAGGUGCAUAUAAAUGGCAACCAGUUCUAAUGAUGUGCCAGAAUGGCUUGUUGAUCAUAAUUAUGCAUAUACACCUACUCUAUUUGAAGAAUUUGAAAAUAUCGAUAUAGAUUCAAUUUUUGACGGACAGGACAACAAUGAGACAGGAGCAGAUUUAAAGCAAGAAUGUGCAAUAAAAAC
Long non-coding RNA from Biomphalaria glabrata, 261 nucleotides. RefSeq lists it as uncharacterized. The record is from RefSeq and is a predicted model, not a curated record. Lineage: Eukaryota; Metazoa; Mollusca; Gastropoda; Planorbidae. The transcript is spliced from 3 exons.